RNAcentral lists this ribosomal RNA (966 nucleotides) under Parvocalanus elegans. RNAcentral describes it as "partial 28S ribosomal RNA". It matches the Rfam family "Eukaryotic large subunit ribosomal RNA", at positions 65 to 934 of the family's 3401-position model. The record is from RNAcentral. Lineage: Eukaryota; Metazoa; Arthropoda; Copepoda; Calanoida; Paracalanidae.
CCACCUGUGAUUCCCUUAGUAAUGGCGAAUGAAACGGGAUUAGGCCAUCGCGGAACCGCAAGUCAUCUUGCCUUUGGGGAAUGUCGCGUUUGGGAGAGUCUCCUCACGGUCUGGCUGACCAGUCAAAGUCCAACUUGACAGUGGCCACUGCCCAUACAGGGUGAUAGGCCCGUAAGGCGGUCGGCUGGCUGUGGUGACUUUUCCCUCGAGUCGGGUUGCUUGGGAGUGCAGCCCAAAGUGCGAGGUAAACUCCUCGUAAGCCUAAAUAUCACCCUGAGACCGAUAGCAAACAAGUACGGUGACGGAAGAUUGAAAAGAACUUUGAAGAGAGAGUUCAAUAGUACGUGAAACUGUGUGGUGGUAAACGGAGGUGUUCUCGAAGUUUCUGCAGGGAACUCAGCCUUACGGCGGGGCGGCUUGGUUGUGUCCGAUCAGCAAUGACGGGGCGGCUCACUUGGCUCUGUCUGCGGGUGCAUUUCCCCUGCAGUUUACGGCAGGAACCCUUGAGAGUGGACCUAAGGCGUUGGGAGAAGUUACAGGCCUAGCUUGUAGCCCCGGCUGUUCUGGCUUCACACUCGAGGGGUACCGGAGGCGACUCGUAUAGCGAGCAAUGCUCUGUUGCGGUUGCCAUCUCUCUGCCGAGUAGGUUGGUGGCACCUCCGACCCGUCUUGAAACACGGACCAAGGAGUCUAACAUGUAUGCAAACCAUUGGUUUGACUAAGACUAACGGCGCAGUGAAAGCAAAGAGUAGCUUGUCUGCUCGAGGGAGGAUCCUUUUCAGGGGCACUCCCGCGACUUCCAUCAUCCUCGCAAUGUUGGGACUACGCAGAGCAUAAAUGUUGGGACCCGAAAGAUGGUGAACUAUGCCUGGCCAGGAUGAAAUCAGGAGAAAAUUUGAUGGAGGUCCGUAGCGAUUCUGACGUGCAAAUCGAUCGUCGGAGCUGGGUAUAGGGGCGAAAGACUAA